RNAcentral lists this ribosomal RNA (400 nucleotides) under phytoplankton environmental sample. Its description in RNAcentral is "partial small subunit ribosomal RNA". It matches the Rfam family "Eukaryotic small subunit ribosomal RNA", at positions 587 to 981 of the family's 1831-position model. The record is from RNAcentral.
AGCUCCAAUAGCGUAUAUUAAAGUUGUUGCAGUUAAAAAGCUCGUAGUUGGAUUUCGGUGCGUCGCGCAACCCGGUCUACCGAGACGGUGUGUACUGGUUCGCACGUGCUUCCUGACGGUUUUUGCUUCGCGCUGCUCUUUACUGGGUGGCGUGUAGGCUCCGUCUCGUUUACUUUGAAAAAAUUAGAGUGUUUAAAGCAGGCCUUUCGCGCCUUGAAUAUUGCAGCAUGGGAUAAUGGAAUAGGACUUUGCUCCUAUUUUGUUGGUUUCUAGGAGGAAAGUAAUGAUUAAUAGAGAUAGUUGGGGGUAUUCAUAUUUAGUUGUCAGAGGUGAAAUUCUUGGAUUUACGAAAGAUGAACUUCUGCGAAAGCAUUUAUCAAGGAUGUUUUCAUUAAUCAAG